AAGUCGUAACAAGGUUUCCGUAGGUGAACCUGCGGAAGGAUCAUUAAUGAGAUCAUGCCACUCGGGGUAGACCUCCCACCCCCUGCUUUAUCCGUACCCGUUGCUUCGGUCGGUCCCGUUGCGCCGAGACGGGCCGGCCCAGAGGCACCUUUAACCCGGCUUAACGUUAUUCAUUGUCGUCUGAGUACUAUACAAUAGUUAAAA
This 204-nucleotide unclassified non-coding RNA is filed under the name plant metagenome. Its description in RNAcentral is "partial contains small subunit ribosomal RNA and internal transcribed spacer 1". The stretch from base 1 to 46 matches the Rfam family "Eukaryotic small subunit ribosomal RNA", at positions 1786 to 1831 of the family's 1831-position model. The record is from RNAcentral.